AUGCUGCUGCUUGCGGCUGCUGCUCCUUGCCGGGUCUGCUGCUCUUUGCCAUUGUUGCUUGCCGCUGCUCCUUGCGACGGCUGCUCUGCUCCGGGAUGUUGGGCGUCACGGUGGGCAGUGACGACGCGUCGAUGGCGGUUUGGGUCCUGGAGGAGGGAGAAAGGUGCAACCUCCGAUUCGUCAUCGAGGCACAGGGAGUACGGCAGCUUGCCAUACCACACUUCGCGCACGGCGCCGGCAGCCAAGGUACCGAGGUCCAGGCAGCAGCAGCAGCACGACGAAAUUCUCGCCGGCGUCGCUCAUAUUGCCAUGGUCGACCAACUGCACAUCAGAGCUGACCUGGGCAAGCGCAGGAGUGGGGGAUGGGGAAGACUGAGUCUGGGCGUGGCGGUGAAAGGCAUGGCCGUGGUGGCUCGAUGUAGGCUUGGCGGCGGCGACGCUUGUGAGAGUGGCAUGGCCAUGGUGGCUCGGGAUAGAGAGUUCAGGGAAGAGAGAUAG
Molecule: ribosomal RNA, 498 nt
Filed under: Triticum aestivum (bread wheat)
Lineage: Eukaryota; Viridiplantae; Streptophyta; Magnoliopsida; Poales; Poaceae
Description: partial small subunit ribosomal RNA
Source: RNAcentral